AGUUAUCCUUUUUCUCCCUCCCUCCUAUAUGUUUUCUGAUCCAGCUUGUUCUCUCUCUCUCACACACACAUCCUCCCCCUUCUCUGAGAAGGGUUGAGGGGCUAGAGAAAGGAGCUCUGUGCAUCCGGUGUUGUUAAAGGCUGACUUAAUCCCUGAAGCUCGGUGAGGCCCAGGUUGUGCGCUUCGCGUCAGUUAAUUGGCACUUUAGUGUAGGCGUCAAGGUGCUUAGCCAGGUGCAUCUUCACCAAUGGAUCUAUCUUUAGGUUGAUAAUGGAACGUGAAGGGAUUCUCAAGAACUCGAAAUCUAUCAUGCCUGCUGCCUUUGUAUCGUUUAAUUCAAGAUGCGGGGCAGCUGUUUGUGCACAAACACAGCAAAGCAAGAACCCCACAUUGUGGCUGACUAAUUGGGCCCCUGAACCACGAGAUGUAUAUUGGAACAAUCUGUCUAUAUCUUUUUUUUCUCUCAGCCUCCGCAAGCUUUUGAUUUCCGUGGCAGUGUUUGCUUUGGUAUUCUUUUACAUGAUACCUAUUACCUUUGUGCAAUCGUUGGGUAAUCUGGAAGGUUUAGAAAAGGUUGCACCUUUUUUGAGACCACUAAUUGAAUGGAAGAUUAUCAAGUCGUUUCUACAGGGUUUUCUUCCUGGUUUAGCUCUUAAAGUCUUCUUGCUUGUUCUUCCUGCCAUUCUGAUGUUUAUGUCAAAGAUUGAGGGACAUGUGGCGUUAUCAGUGCUCGAGAGGAGAACAGCAGCAAAAUACUAUUAUUUUAUGCUAGUCAAUGUAUUCCUGGGGAGCAUAGUAGCAGGGACAGCUUUCCAGCAACUUCAUGCUUUCCUAUUUCCUUCACCAAUCAGCUACUCAGUACACACUCUCUCUCUCUCUCUCUCUCUCUCUGCUUAUUCUCAUAGUUCACAAAAUCAUGAUGACUGCACUAUGUUCAUUAGCUUUUGACACAUGAUAGAUUAGAUUGGUCUCUCAGUGAAAGAUGUAUGCCAGUGGGUGGGACACAGUAGCUUUUGGUACUCUUUGUGGUUAAAUAUGCGGUGUUCAAGGAGCUGAAAGUAAUUUAAAUUUCUCCAUUAGAUUGUAGUUUUAGUGAGCAGUAAGUGUGAGUUCGACUAACUUUUCACGCUUAUAGAUGAGAAAUGCUCUACCAUCCUAAUCUUCAAUGUACUGUAUACGCUCAUUUGAUAAGUUGUAAGCAUUUCAUUUUUAAUUUGAAAACCAAAGUAAAAUGGUAAUGAUUUCGGAAUAUGUUGUUGUAGUGUUGUGUUGGGCCCGUGUGAAGUACGGGCAACCAGUAUCUAGUCUAAUAUAUAUAAAUGGCCAAGUUGUACGAACACAACUCUUUCAAGUUGUAUGGAAGGCACUAUGGUACUGUAAAUUUGGCUAUAUUUCAUUGAUUAUGCUCCUGAGGAUCAAUUCACGUGUAAGGAGGCUUGACUUAUGUGACAGAAUGUUCGAGUUCCGGAGGUAGAAUAUCAAGCAGAUCAAACCAGUAGAAAGGGUUGAUUUCAGAUUCUUCAAUUUCUAAGCCGCCCUUCAGGAGAACCCAUGAAGAUAUGCACUUGUUCAAUAUAAUAUUGAAUCAAGAAAUCAGAUGGUUGUCAACACAGGUACCUCCAGUUUCAUGGUUGCAGACAGAAUCACGAACAACAUCAAGGAAAAUAUAAAAGAAAAUAUGAUACCCAUGAAGCUGCGAAAUCCCCCUUAAUGUAGCUGAUAAGAAGGUACCGCAGAAAUGCUACCUAGCGAUAUUGAAAACUAAAGUGGUAGUAUAACACUAUUGCCGACUCCCUAAUCUUCAAGAACGAAGGAACAUUAAAUGGUGACGUGUGGGCCUUGGGAAUCAAAUAUGUACAAGGAGUUCAAUGACCAUCCAAACUUGCAGCUGUAGUUGGCAUUUGUGUCAGCCUUGGUCUUUUUGGCCUGUAUCUGUUUCUUCCCAUCCCAUUGGUCAAUCUUGUGGCAUUUCUUCAAACUAAGAUGAAGCGAGGAUAUUUAAACCUGAAAUUUU
This is an RNA transcript of Nicotiana attenuata, 2014 nucleotides long. It is a transcript of the gene named CSC1-like protein At1g32090, with no coding region annotated. The transcript is spliced from 7 exons. The record is from RefSeq and is a predicted model, not a curated record. NCBI's taxonomy places the organism in Eukaryota, Viridiplantae, Streptophyta, Magnoliopsida, Solanales, Solanaceae.